GUGUGAUUCCAGUGGAAAGCAAAAUAACCAAGAAUGCAUUUGUCCAGCUCCUCGACAAGCUUCACAUACAGCGAUUCGUGGUUAGGACACUCAUUUACGUCCUCGAUCCCCAUCUGCCUAGCUGCAAUUACACCAUCAGAACAUGUCAUCCCUUGGAAGAGACAAUAAACGAUGCAGUAAACAAAAUGCAAAAUGUGGAGGAGGACCAGGUGAAAAGCUUUUCAAACAGUUACCAACAUAAUGGGGGAAGCUUUCCAGCUGCUCCACCCGCCCGGACUCGGCCAGCACAAGCACCGGCUGCGGAUCCCUCAUCUGCGGCUACCUCCUCCGUCGCCAGUAGC
Non-coding RNA from Musa acuminata subsp. malaccensis (wild Malaysian banana), 341 nucleotides. Lineage: Eukaryota; Viridiplantae; Streptophyta; Magnoliopsida; Zingiberales; Musaceae. The record is from RefSeq and is a predicted model, not a curated record.